CUGCCCUCCGACACGUGGUGGCUGUAUUGGGCUGUAUGUAGCUAGACUCUGCAGCUUGCGGUUUUAACUGCUUGUGAUUGAGUGGCAACGUGAGUGAGCUCUGCGUAUUCCACCCCAGCGUUAAGAAUCCUUCACUAGCUUCUCUAACUGACCCUGCUUAUUUAUCUAUCGGUAGCAGGACGGGUAAUUGACGCCCUCAGAUGGCUUUGAGGUCGCCAUUUUUGGUUGUUGUCUUUGUCAUGGUGUCAGGACCGGGAUAUCAUCUGGGACACAUUACCCUAUAGAUAUCCCGUUGGACCUCAACGAGGAAGUUGGCAGCACAAGAACUGGGAGACGAGAGAAAUCGUUAGGUAUCCACAGCCGCUGAAAGCCAGUAUUCCAACGCCAGGAAACGCCUGCUUUCCUGAGCAGUUGACAAGAGAGAACCACCGCUAACUGCAACCGGAAGGAGCAGGUUCUCCCUCGCUCGCGCAGCCGCUCUUCCCCGCCACUCCCUUGACUCCCGCCAGCACCUUCCCAGCAAGCACUGCUCAAAUUUGCAUAUCAACUCACGUCCUUUACUUCUAAAUAAAAAUCGAAAAGACAAAUUCCAGAUUUUCCUUGUAAGUCUUCCUUUCAAUUCAGAAGAACCGGAAUUCCCUCUUCGACUUCAGCAACGAACAUGGAAUAAGGCUUUGCUU
This is a long non-coding RNA of Callithrix jacchus (white-tufted-ear marmoset), 680 nucleotides long. RefSeq lists it as uncharacterized. NCBI's taxonomy places the organism in Eukaryota, Metazoa, Chordata, Mammalia, Primates, Cebidae. The record is from RefSeq and is a predicted model, not a curated record.